UUACACCGGUUCUCGUUAGAUCACCGAAGUCAAGCAUCAUUGGGCGCGGUCAGCACUUGGGUGAGUGACCACCUGGGAACACCACGUGCCGUU
This 93-nucleotide ribosomal RNA is filed under the name Caerostris darwini. Lineage: Eukaryota; Metazoa; Arthropoda; Arachnida; Araneae; Araneidae. The record is from RNAcentral.